Molecule: ribosomal RNA, 460 nt
Filed under: uncultured bacterium
Lineage: Bacteria
Description: partial 16S ribosomal RNA
Rfam family: Bacterial small subunit ribosomal RNA
Source: RNAcentral
CCUACGUGAGGCAGCAGUGAGGAAUAUUGGUCAAUGGGCGCGAGCCUGAACCAGCCAAGUAGCGUGAAGGAUGACUGCCCUACGGGUUGUAAACUUCUUUUAUAAAGGAAUAAAGUGAGGCACGUGUGCCUUUUUGUAUGUACUUUAUGAAUAAGGAUCGGCUAACUCCGUGCCAGCAGCCGCGGUAAUACGGAGGAUCCGAGGGUUAUCCGGAUUUAUUGGGUUUAAAGGGAGCGUGGAUGGGUUGUUAAGUCAGUUGUGAAAGUUUGCGGCUCAACCGUAAAAUUGCAAUUGAUAAUGGCAGUCUUGAGUACAGUUGAGGUAGGCGGAAUUCGUGGUGUAGCGGUGAAAUGCUUAGAUAUCACGAAGAACUCCGAUUGCGAAGGCAGCUUACUAAACUGCCACUGACAUUGAUGCUCGAAAGUGUGGGUAUCAAACAGGAUUAGAUACCCGAGUAGUC